AAUAAAGUGCCUGAUAAAAGGAGCACUCUGAUACAGUGUAUAUGUGAUACACCUUUAUUA
This 60-nucleotide transfer RNA is filed under the name Jesogammarus hinumensis. RNAcentral describes it as "tRNA-Ile". The record is from RNAcentral. Lineage: Eukaryota; Metazoa; Arthropoda; Malacostraca; Amphipoda; Anisogammaridae.